UAAAGUGGAAUAGGUGGACUUUUCAGUGUUUUUAAUGGUGUCAAAAUUUCCAACACUUUUUCCAUAUUUCGCAUAAUAUUACUUUAUAACUACUGAGACUGGAGGUGUUUUGAUAUUGUGAAUAUUAAUUAAAGUAAUUGUCAAGUCAGAAUAUAUAAUGCAUUCGAGCCUAGCUUCAUUUUUUCUAUGGGUCAAUUUCAAAAUUAAAUACGUUACGUACGUAUGGCAGCGGGGCGCCGGCACCUCGCCUGUGACGUCAUCAAGGAUUCGGGACUCGGUCUGCUCCAGUGUCUUCUCAAUAUUUACCGUAAUUUCCAGUGUUUUCCAAGUGUUUCUAGCUGUUUCUAAAGUCAGGCGUGUAGAUAGUUGUAGUAGAAGGAAGAAAAUAAGAGAAAUGAAAGAGGAGAAGGAAGAAACAAAAAGAAAUGGAGGAGGAGGCAAAACAGCUAUCCAACAUCAGAACAGUAUAUGAAUAUGGCAAAUGCUGUUUUGACAUCAUUUCCUGCCAUCCUGAGAAACAGUGAUCUCGAGGAGCAUGAAUUGCAGCUGCAAUGGAAAUUGCGCAUCCAGCGCAAGUUUCAGAAUUCAAGAAAGAGGCAGGAUUCCAAAGUGACUGAGGUGACGUCAAGGAAAAAGAAGAUCCCUUGCAUAGCGCCAAAAGAGACUACGUGUCUACUGAUGUAUGGAGUAAAGGCUUACCUUCCACCAAGGCCCCAUUCAGAAGAUGAUGAGUCAUUAGAGAGACAUAGACAGUGGCUUGCUCUACAUUGGAUGAAGAAAGAUCCCGAGUUAGAUAAGCUAUCCAACAUCAGAACAGUAUAUGAAUAUGGCAAAUGCUGUUUUGACAUCAUUUCCUGCCAUCCUGAGAAACAGUGAUCUCGAGGAGCAUGAAUUGCAGCUGCAAUGGAAAUUGCGCAUCCAGCGCAAGUUUCAGAAUUCAAGAAAGAGGCAGGAUUCCAAAGUGACUGAGGUGACGUCAAGGAAAAAGAAGAUCCCUUGCAUAGCGCCAAAAGAGACUACGUGUCUACUGAUGUAUGGAGUAAAGGCUUACCUUCCACCAAGGCCCCAUUCAGAAGAUGAUGAGUCAUUAGAGAGACAUAGACAGUGGCUUGCUCUACAUUGGAUGAAGAAAGAUCCCGAGUUAGAUAAGCUAUCCAACAUCAGAACAGUAUAUGAAUAUGGCAAAUGCUGUUUUGACAUCAUUUCCUGCCAUCCUGAGAAACAGUGAUCUCGAGGAGCAUGAAUUGCAGCUGCAAUGGAAAUUGCGCAUCCAGCGCAAGUUUCAGAAUUCAAGAAAGAGGCAGGAUUCCAAAGUGACUGAGGUGACGUCAAGGAAAAAGAAGAUCCCUUGCAUAGCGCCAAAAGAGACUACGUGUCUACUGAUGUAUGGAGUAAAGGCUUACCUUCCACCAAGGCCCCAUUCAGAAGAUGAUGAGUCAUUAGAGAGACAUAGACAGUGGCUUGCUCUACAUUGGAUGAAGAAAGAUCCCGAGUUAGAUAAGAUAAUCAAGGAGUUCCUGAGAUUAGAACCACAAGCGGAUGAACCAGACCCAAGAGUAGCAGUUUUGAAAGGGCUGGAGAAAUAUAGGCUCCCAAUAAUUGCCAUUCUCAAAAAAAGAAAAGCAGUUCCUCUGUAUAUAGAAACCUUACUUGAACUCUAUGACCACGAUGAAAGUCAAUGCGAGUAAUGUUUAGUUCAAUUUGUUCAUUUCAGUAGCUGGUAGCAAUUUAAUAUAUGUAUCUUUUCAUUAUUAGCAAUGCAUCUUUCACUUUUAUAAGCCUAGUAUUCAUGAAACUAUGCUGCAUGCAAAAACCAAACAUUGUAUUAAGCAUGACCUAUCUAACUGUAAUGCUUGCACCAAUUUCUAUAAAGGUACUAAUUUAAUUGUUAAAUUCCUGCUCUUCUAUCAAUUUUUUUGGCUGAGUGCUACGGCUAAAUAAUUGUUUGCAGCAUAAGUGAUGUUAAAGAUUUUAAUAGGUGUAAAGCAUCUCUCUCUCUCUCUCUCUCUCUCUCUCUCUCUCUCUCUCUCUCUCUCUCUCUCUCUCUCUCUCUCUCUCUCUCUCUCUCUCUCUCUCUCUCUCUCUCUCUCUCUCUCUCUCUCUCUCUCUCUCGUAAAGAAAGACAUUAUUUCUAGUGUAAAUAAACCCAAUAGGCUGUCCAAUUUGAAAUUUAAAAUGUAAAUAUCAUCAAUCUUUUUAGAAAUGUUAGCUGCAUCCUCUUCCCUUGCAGUCCAAUAAGACAGGUCACUAAUUUGUGUGGAGAUAGAAUUCUUGGAGUCACCUUUGCCGGCAGUAGUGCAAGUGCAAACAGUCUGAUAAAAGUUUCUUCCAUGGUUGUGAUGAAAUUCAGGACUUCUCACACUGUUUUGGUGGAUAUGAUGAGAAGAAUCGGGAGUUCGGGACAUCAGUGCGUUAUGUCGGGGCAUGUAGGUUCGGCUGGGGUUUUCUUUCUUUCUUUCUUUUUUUUUUUCGAUCAGUACUCAUCAUAUUCUUACGAGGACUUGCUAGACAAAGCAUUAUUGCAUUAUGAUAUUACCCAAAUAGUGUCUCAAGUAAAAAACAUAACCGCAUACUCGUACAAAAGAUUUGCUGCUGUGACACAAACGACAAAAAUCAUUAGUAUACUGGUCGUUCUGAGCAUUCAAUCAAAAUGCUUGUCAUUCAUAUAAUUAGUAGAACCAUCGAGGAGCUUUAUUUUUGUUAAUUCUUAUGUGAUAAAGCAAUAAUUACAGGAGAAUUUUAAAAGAUUGGUACUCAAAUUAGUGGACUGUCCUAUUGGAUGUGACCAUGUCUUCACUUUUUCCUUACACAGUUAAUUUUCUUUUGUUUAUUUGAUUUACUUAUUAUCAUAUUUAUUUCUAUAUUUAUUUAUUUGCACCAGAUGCUUGCUUAGUUAUAUUGGGGUUACUUCACCUGCUUGGAGAAAGGAAAGACUCCAUUUUUACUAAGGUACCAGAAGAAGAACUAAGAACAGGGCAGUCUAGUGUGUAUUUGAUGGUGCACCUGUAGCUGAACCAACAUGUAUUUCUAUGGCUGUAGUCUCAUUGGUAGCAGGGCUUUGUGUUUAAUAUUGAACACCCAAAAAAUUGUGAACAUUUCCUCCGUUUCACAACAUAGGUAUCAAGUAUGACAAAGGUAACACUUCAAAAACAAGAUCUCUACUUGUAAAACUCAAUGAAGUAAAGACAGAAUUGAGCUACAAAAAUGCAUAAAUCUACUUCCAAAUAUAUUCAACUCCACACAUAAUGCCUCUCUCUCUCUCUCUCUCUCUCUCUCUCUCUCUCUCUCUCUCUCUCUCUCUCUCUC
Scylla paramamosain (green mud crab) is the source of this 3306-nucleotide long non-coding RNA. RefSeq lists it as uncharacterized. NCBI's taxonomy places the organism in Eukaryota, Metazoa, Arthropoda, Malacostraca, Decapoda, Portunidae. The record is from RefSeq and is a predicted model, not a curated record. The transcript has 6 exons.